This 496-nucleotide ribosomal RNA is filed under the name uncultured bacterium. RNAcentral's name for it is "partial 16S ribosomal RNA". It matches the Rfam family "Bacterial small subunit ribosomal RNA", at positions 30 to 523 of the family's 1533-position model. The record is from RNAcentral.
AUUGAACGCUGGCGGAAUGCUUUACACAUGCAAGUCGAACGGUAGAGGGGGCAACCCCUCGAGAGUGGCGAACGGGUGAGUAAUAUAUCGGAACGUGCCCAGUCGUGGGGGAUAACGUAGCGAAAGUUACGCUAAUACCGCAUACGAUCUAAGGAUGAAAGCGGGGGAUCGCAAGACCUCGCGCGAUUGGAGCGGCCGAUAUCAGAUUAGGUAGUUGGUGGGGUAAAGGCUCACCAAGCCAACGAUCCGUAGCUGGUCUGAGAGGACGACCAGCCACACUGGAACUGGGACACGGUCCAGACUCCUACGGGAGGCAGCAGUGGGGAAUUUUGGACAAUGGACGCAAGUCUGAUCCAGCCAUUCCGCGUGCAGGAUGAAGGCCCUCGGGUUGUAAACUGCUUUUGUACGGAACGAAAAGGUCUCUCUUAAUACGGGGGGCUCAUGACGGUACCGUAAGAAUAAGCACCGGCUAACUACGUGCCAGCCGCCGCGGUAA